GAUGAACGCUGGCGGCGUGCCUAAUACAUGCAAGUCGAGCGAACACACGAGAAGCUUGCUCUUCUGCCGGUAGCGGCGGACGGGCGAGUAACACGUAGAUCACCUACCUAUAAUACUGGGAUAACAUCGGGAAACAAGAGCCAAUAAUGCAUCAUAUAUUCUACCGCUUGGUUCAAUAGUGAAAGACGGUUUUGCUGUCACUAAUAGAUGGAUCCGUGUCGGAUUAGCUAGUUGGUAAGGUAACGGCCUACCAAGGCGACGAUGCGUAGCCGACCUGAGAGGGUGAUCAGCCACACUGGAACUGAGACACGGUCCAGACUCCUACGGGAGGCAGCAGUGGGGAAUCUUCGACAAUGGGCGAAAGCCUGACGGAGCAACGCCGCGUGGGUGAUGAAGGUCUUCGGAUCGUAAAGCUCUGUUGUUGGGAAAGAAAAGAUGUAUGUGAAUCUACGGACGUUUUGACGGUACCCAAUGAGUAAGCCACGGCUAACUACGUG
This 497-nucleotide ribosomal RNA is filed under the name uncultured bacterium. RNAcentral's name for it is "partial 16S ribosomal RNA". It matches the Rfam family "Bacterial small subunit ribosomal RNA", at positions 28 to 507 of the family's 1533-position model. The record is from RNAcentral.